CGGCGACCGGCGCACGGGUGAGUAACGCGUAUCCAACCUUCCGUACACUCAGGGAUAGCCUUUCGAAAGAAAGAUUAAUACCUGAUGGUAUGAUGAGAUUGCAUGAUAGCAUCAUUAAAGAUUUAUCGGUGUACGAUGGGGAUGCGUUCCAUUAGGUAGUAGGCGGGGUAACGACCCACCUAGCCAACGAUGGAUAGGGGUUCUGAGAGGAAGGUCCCCCACAUUGGAACUGAGACACGGUCCAAACUCCUACGGGAGGCAGCAGUGAGGAAUAUUGGUCAAUGGACGAGAGUCUGAACCAGCCAAGUAGCGUGAAGGAUGAAGGUCCUACGGAUUGUAAACUUCUUUUAUAAGGGAAUAAACCCUCCCACGUGUGGGAGCUUGUAUGUACCUUAUGAAUAAGCAUCGGCUAACUCCGUGCCAGCAGCCGCGGUAAUACGGAGGAUGCGAGCGUUAUCCGGAUUUAUUGGGUUUAAAGGGAGCGCAGACGGGUCGUUAAGUCAGCUGUGAAAGUUUGGGGCUCAACCUUAAAAUUGCAGUUGAUACUGGCGUCCUUGAGUGCGGUUGAGGUGUGCGGAAUUCGUGGUGUAGCGGUGAAAUGCUUAGAUAUCACGAAGAACUCCGAUUGCGAAGGCAGC
This 638-nucleotide ribosomal RNA is filed under the name uncultured bacterium. RNAcentral describes it as "bacterial SSU rRNA". It matches the Rfam family "Bacterial small subunit ribosomal RNA", at positions 89 to 725 of the family's 1533-position model. The record is from RNAcentral.